Melanotaenia boesemani (Boeseman's rainbowfish) is the source of this 1686-nucleotide long non-coding RNA. RefSeq lists it as uncharacterized. The record is from RefSeq and is a predicted model, not a curated record. The transcript has 5 exons. NCBI's taxonomy places the organism in Eukaryota, Metazoa, Chordata, Actinopteri, Atheriniformes, Melanotaeniidae.
UAUAUCUGAAGUCUAACUCCUGGAGUUCCACCUCACUUCCUCCCAUCAAACGUCAGCCUUGCAGCUUUAACGUCCUCAGAGGGAAGCAGGAAACCCACAAGCCACCUGAAACACAGAAGUGGAACAUUUGAACAGAUGUUGGUCCUGUAGGUCAGCCACCCGAGUAUCUGAAACACCAUGACCAGCGUCAACUCUCCUGCCAGUCUGCUCGCUCGUAACCACUUUUACAGAAGUCUGACUCCAAGUUCAGAGCUGAUUAAACCAACAUCUGUCCUCAGCUGUCAGAACCACUUUGGUGUGCACAGAGAGGUCACUGUUUGGGUCACCGUGGCAACACCUCCCGAAUUACCUGUUGUCAUGGAAACCACAGGAUUAUGGAUAAACAUUGUUCUGGGCUCCAAACCAGCCAACCCUGCUGACCGGCGUGUUAAGUAGAGGAAAGCGAGACCGAGCGUAGAAGGACGACAGUUUGUUGGACAUCCAGACUAAUGAAGAGAAAAAUGGCUCCUUCUCUCUCACUUUCGAUGACCCUCUGAGCAUUCGGUGAACUAGAAAAACUGCAGCGUAAAAGAACAAAUGAGCCACAAAGUAAAUCCUCUUUUCAAGCGUUCAGCUCCAUGGUGCAUGGGGGCCACUUUGCAGCAGCAUCGCUCAUUGUUUGUUUUUCCUUUCUUUCAAUGACACAGAGACUGGAGGGGUGAAUGGGAUGUAGCUGUGCUUAUGUAAGCCUAUUUUACACUCGUUUGGGGAAAUCCUUGUGUCAGGAUUUGUGGUACUCUUCAGUCAGCAGCGAGGUUCGGGUCAGAACCAUUCGAUCAUAAAUAGCUUGAUGUAUUAGAGAACAAAGGGAUGAACAAUUAAGUUAGUUUUUCCUGCAUUAUCACAAUUCCAAUAGGGAAUUAUUAAAUCAGAAUCAAACCAAUCGAUUGUUUAUGUGAGAACAUUUUCAGUCAUUUGCUCCAUUCAGUGUUUACUAUUUAUUUUACUGGACUUGGUGUUACUUCGACCAAACAAAAUAACUACAGUUUCCUUCUCAUUAAACCUUAACAUUUAGCAACAUCCCCAGAUUGAUAUUAUUAAAGCAUUCUAAUAUAGAUUUAGUGGAGUUUGAGUUAUUUUGCAUUGAGGGUGCAUACAUGUAACAGUCAUGUGUGGUAGAAGAACAUCCCAUGUUUCCUCAGAGCAGAGUCCUGAGUGAAAACGGGCUCAGUAUUGAACCUUGUGGUACUCCAUAAAGAGAGAGGUGCUACAAAUGACACAGAAUAAUCAAUAUUAAGUAAUUAAAAAGAAAACCCCCACCCUACCACCUCAGCUGGCUCCUGUGGAGGACCAGUGAAUCUAUCCUGAGCUCAUCCCAGAAACUUGGCUGAUUCCUGAAGGUCAGGAAGCUGCUUCUGUUUGACAUCUUGUCUUUUGUUUGGUUACGUUGGCCAGACAUGAGGGUUAGACUAGAGUUAGAGUAGUGGAAUGGGUGUGCAGAGUUCCUGGUAUUUGACUAUGUUAGGGGUCUGAAAACUAUGAAUAAAUUCAGUUUCCAUUUUUUCUGUAUUUGAAAUUUAUUUCCAGUAAUUAUUCAGGUGCUCUUUAGCAAACUGUCAUUGUAAUGUUGGACACUGAAAUGCAAUAUGGAUUCACGUUUUUCUUCUUUUCUUUCCCCAAAACCCAACAAUAAAAAUGUUUAAUCAG